Haliotis rubra (blacklip abalone) is the source of this 565-nucleotide long non-coding RNA. RefSeq lists it as uncharacterized. The transcript is spliced from 2 exons. NCBI's taxonomy places the organism in Eukaryota, Metazoa, Mollusca, Gastropoda, Lepetellida, Haliotidae. The record is from RefSeq and is a predicted model, not a curated record.
UCAACCAGGUAGCCGAGUACAGGACCAGCCAACGAGGUAGCAGUACAGGAUCAGCCAAUGAGGUAGCCAUGAGCAGGAUCAGCCAACCUGGUAGUCGAGAGCAGGACCAGCCAACCAGGUAGCCGAGUACUGGACCACCAACCAAAUAGCUGUGUAAUAGGUUGAGAAAGAUUGCACGUUAUUCACACAUGCUGAACGAAUUUCCAGAUGAAACCUAAACAAAUAACAUCAUGUUGAGAUUGUAUUCAUUUAUGGUGUUAUGGAGGACAAGUCCAAAUAUGAUGCAGCAGUGACAAAAACCAUGCCUGAUGCAAUACCCAUGUUUUACAAGUCUUGUCUUGAAUUGCCUUACCUUUCCAUGUUCUCUCAACGUUUUGAUGACACCUUGUAUAAGCAUUUUCUCACUGUUUCAUUAUGACAUGCUAAUGCUUUCAGUACAAACUUCUCAAAGUAAUGGGAUGUUUUUGUCGCCUUUUUAAAAUAUGAACAUAGUUAGAUGUUUGCGGAAACUGUUCUUUUGUAUAUGUUGAUAUAUUCGUAAAAUGAUAUUAAAUGUUUAAGUUGA